GAGUGAGCUUAAGAACACAAGC
This 22-nucleotide microRNA is filed under the name Lotus japonicus. RNAcentral's name for it is "lja-miR398-5p". Its record names the gene lja-miR398-5p. The record is from miRBase by way of RNAcentral. Lineage: Eukaryota; Viridiplantae; Streptophyta; Magnoliopsida; Fabales; Fabaceae.